UACACGAUCAAGAUCAAUGUGAGGUCAAGACCCUCCGUGUAGGAUAGAACACGGCCAAAACCCCUCUGUGAACUAGAAGAAUAUAUAAUCACGAGUACUUUUCUGGUCGAUCUCAAAAUCAUAUCUCAUAUUCCAAUUCACAAUGUACCGUAUACAAUCUUUGAAAUCUCACAUGUAUCAUCAUAAAAGAUAUUUCCAUAAUAACCAUAUAAUUCGAAUACAUAAUUGUAUAUAAUUGCAUAUACUUUAAUAAUAAACUUAAUUUAUAAAUAUUUUUAAAAUAUUUAUAUUUUUCCACUCACAGUACUAUGUUCGCAAAAUCAAUCAGCCUAGUAAAUUGUUCUGUUAUCAGUAUCGUCGCCUGAAAUACGAUAUAAUUUUUAAAUAAACAAUUAAUUAUUCGAUAAAAUUACAAUCCAACCCGUCUCAAAAUUAAUAUACAUAACAAAGUCAAUUACAAUUAAUUGAUAAUAUAUCCCACUGACUCAUGCCACCAUAAUAGCCAAUAAAUAUUUCAGCUUUCUAAUUUCUCAUUGAUGAUCACAUUAUAAUACCAAUAGUCUUAAUUUGAUUACCCUUCUUCCUCAAUCGCUACUAUGGUUGCCAAGUGCAGGGAAGUCCUUUUUCAUUUUUGGCCACAAUUUGAUGCUAAAAAGUAGCAAUUUCAUUUCCUUCCAAUUAAGCACUGUACAACCGAUUUCAUUUUCCUUUCAUUGGAUCCCUGUUCAACUAAUUCCAUUUCCAUUAGCAUUUCUACUAAUCAAAAUAUGAUUACACAUAUAUUUAUCCACUCAAUUCGAUUUAUGUACCUGCCCUUUUCUAUUCCUUCAGUCUCCCAGCUCUUCUCUCUACAUUCCUCCAAAGUGAGAAAUGGAUAGAUAUGUAUAAUGUUUAUGCUUAUCAAUUACCAUCAUUUCCACUAAUCAUACCUAUUCAAGAACUCAAUUAAAAACUCUAGGAUUUACCAAAAUUAGUAUUUCUUACCUUGAUACAAAGAUCUUUCACAAAUCUGCUUGAAAUCAUACUGUUUCCAUCAAUCCGAAAAUGGAACUAUCAAAUUUGCCCAACUACUUAGAAGCCUAGAAAAUUUUAUAUGAAUUAUACCACAAAAUAUUUACCUCUUUCCUCUCUAAAAAUUGAAGAAAUUGAAUAAUGGAACUCAAGAUUUUCUUCACCCUUUUUUCUUUAUCUUCUCUUUUCUCUUUUCUCUUUUCUUUCUCCUUUUUUCUCUCUCUCGGUCUCUCUCAAUUUUUCCGGUUUCUUCUCUCCCAGCCAUUUCUUCUUGUGUGUGUAUGUAAAGAAUUGGAAGAAAUGGUUUAUAACAUGACACUUGUAUUCCACUAACCCCAAAUUUUGCCAUUCAAGUCCUUCAACAUUAAUAUAUCUUAACAUUAAAUCUUUUACUUCCAAAAAUAGAAAAAUAAAUCCC
Molecule: long non-coding RNA, 1429 nt
Filed under: Olea europaea (common olive)
Lineage: Eukaryota; Viridiplantae; Streptophyta; Magnoliopsida; Lamiales; Oleaceae
Description: long non-coding RNA (OEUR_LNC010820)
Source: RNAcentral